Molecule: ribosomal RNA, 397 nt
Filed under: uncultured bacterium
Lineage: Bacteria
Description: partial 16S ribosomal RNA
Rfam family: Bacterial small subunit ribosomal RNA
Source: RNAcentral
AUACGUAGGGGGCGAGCGUUGUCCGGAAUGACUGGGCGUAAAGGGCGUGUAGGCGGCUUUAUAAGUCUGGAGUGAAAGUCCUGCUUUCAAGGUGGGAAUUGCUUUGGAGACUGUAGAGCUUGAGUGCGGAAGAGGUAAGUGGAAUUCCCAGUGUAGCGGUGAAAUGCGUAGAGAUUGGGAGGAACACCAGUGGCGACGGCGACUUACUGGGCCGUAACUGACGCUGAGGCGCGAAAGCGUGGGGAGCGAACAGGAUUAGAUACCCUGGUAGUCCACGCUGUAAACGAUGAAUGCUAGGUGUAGGGGGUAUCGACCCCUCCUGUGCCGGAGUAAACGCAAUAAGCAUUCCGCCUGGGGAGUACGGCCGCAAGGUUGAAACUCAAAUGAAUUGACGGGG